UGUGUGGAAAGGCCCCCAAAAUACAUCAGAUAUGGUCGGGAGGCUCUGGAGCACAAAGAGUGCCAAGAUCUGAUCAGGCGGUGUUUAUCCAUGCUGCACUUGGACAGGCCCUCCUUAGAAGAGCUGCUCUGUGAUCCCUGGAUGCAGAAUAUUCAUCUGCCCUAGAAGAAGGGAGAGAGCCACAGGCACACGUGGAUGCAGGGCCCUGGGAAGGAGAAGGAGUCCUUGGAGAAGCUGUACCAGGUGGGGCUGCUGCUGCAGGGGGCAGCGAGGACGACAUCAAGGAUGACAACCUCUUGCUCCUCCUGGUCUCCGGCAGGCUGAAGAUGAUGGAGUUUGAUUCUGGCACCUUCUCCAAAUCCAG
This 364-nucleotide long non-coding RNA is filed under the name Taeniopygia guttata (zebra finch). RNAcentral describes it as "lncRNA (ENSTGUG00000021781.1)". Lineage: Eukaryota; Metazoa; Chordata; Aves; Passeriformes; Estrildidae. The record is from RNAcentral.